Molecule: long non-coding RNA, 1064 nt
Filed under: Callithrix jacchus (white-tufted-ear marmoset)
Lineage: Eukaryota; Metazoa; Chordata; Mammalia; Primates; Cebidae
Description: lncRNA (ENSCJAG00000077351.1)
Source: RNAcentral
UAUGCUGCCUGUGAGUUUGCUAGGGGACCUCAAUAAGCAGGAAAUGCUCACAUUAAUUUAGUGCAGAUUUCAUGACUAGGGCCUAGAGCAAACAGCAUUUGUGGGUAAUUAACAUUGUUGUCUCCUUUUCAGGGAGGAGUCAUGCGUGUAGAUGAGCAAAGUUCCAUUUUAGGACCACGAAUUGGCGCUUGCCAUGGUUGGGGAUACACUGUGAUGGAUCUGUGACUUGUUCCUCUGAAAGCUGGUCCAAGGUUGUUCGUGUGUGAAUCCGGGGAAUUUAUACAGGCUCUUGGCUGUAAGUAGUUCAGUUUCAUUUUUGAAAUUUAUUACUAACUGCUUAACUGUAGUUGAAGCCUGAGAAUCUUAUCUACAUUGAUAUAACUUAUGCUGUUAGCAUUUCACUAUAUGCAGCUCUUAAUCACUCCCAUGCCCCAUCCUGAGGCUUGAUUUGGUAUAUGUAGUGAUUUAUGUUGUUUUCACAAGAAUAAUAAAUAGGGCUGGCAGUUCAAAGAGAGGACAAUAAGGCUGUAAAUAAAGAAGGGGAGUAAUGCCAUUCAGCCUUAGUUUUACUGAUAUCAUUUUACUUUUCCUGCUAUAUUAUAACUGAUAUUAUCAACCUGUCUGUUUUGUGGAUACUUUUUGCCCUGAUCUUGCCCUGAUUUGCUCAUUUUCGAUUAACAAAUUUAGAAAUAUUAGCAUAACAUAGAAAAAGAACACCUGUCAUAGAGAUACAUUUCCUAUAAAGGUUCAUACUUAUAUGCACAUAAAAUUAUAUAUGAAUGCAGAACAUGUUAUACAAUGAAAAAUAAAAAUGGUCCUGCCUAUGGUAGAAUUACUGCUGUAGAAAGUAGAGGGGAAUUGCAGUGAUAUCUUUGGAAGCAUAGGAAAGACCAUUGAGCAACUCAAAACCAUGCCACAUAAAAAAUAGCUGAAAAAGUGUGAUUUUUCAACUUGAAGAAAAUAGACCCACUGAACUUGAUAUCUGCCUCCAAAUAUGUGAAGUCUGUCCUACAGAAUGAACAGGCUUGUUAGGUAGGGCCCCAGGGGCAGAUAAUGAGUGAUGU